ACCGUAUUCGGCACGUAAGACCUUACAGGUAUUGAAUCCUCUGAAAYCCUAGAGAUAGGGCUUCUCCUUCGGACAGAGUGACAGGUGGUGAUGGUUGUCGUCAGCUCGUGUCGUGAGAUGUUGGGUUAAGUCCCGCAACGAGCGCAACCCUUGAUCUUAGUUGCCAUCAUUCAGUUGGGCACUCUAAGGUGACUGCCGGUGACAAACCGGAGGAAAGGUGGGGAUGACGUCAAAUCAUCAUGCCCCUUAUGACCUGGGCUACACACGUGCUACAAUGGACGGUACAAAGAGCUGCAAGACCGCGAGUUGGGMUAAUCUCAUAAAACCGUUCUCAGUUCGGAUUGUAGGCUGCAACUCGCCUACAUGAAGCUGGAAUCGCUAGUAAUCGCGGAUCAGCAUGCCGCGGGAAUACGAUCCCGGGCCUUGUACACACCGCCCGUCCCACCAGGAGAGUUUGUAAACCCGAGUCGGGGGGGUAACAUUUUGGGCAGCCCUAAGGUGGACCGAUUUUUGGGAAAGCAAACAAGGUAGCC
This 533-nucleotide ribosomal RNA is filed under the name Bacillus sp. HA-OP31. RNAcentral's name for it is "bacterial SSU rRNA". It matches the Rfam family "Bacterial small subunit ribosomal RNA", at positions 950 to 1501 of the family's 1533-position model. Lineage: Bacteria; Bacillati; Bacillota; Bacilli; Caryophanales; Bacillaceae. The record is from RNAcentral.